UGAGGAAUAUUGGUCAAUGGGCGAGAGCCUGAACCAGCCAAGUCGCGUGAAGGAAGACGGUUCAUAAGGAUUGUAAACUUCUUUUGUAGAGGGGUAAAGGUGCGUACGUGUACGCAUUUGCAAGUACUCUACGAAUAAGUAUCGGCUAACUCCGUGCCAGCAGCCGCGGUAAUACGGGGGAUACGAGCGUUAUCCGGAAUUAUUGGGUUUAAAGGGUGCGUAGGUGGCUAUUUAAGUCAGGGGUGAAAAGCAUGAGCUCAACUCAUGUCUUGCCUUUGAAACUGGACAGCUAGAGAAGAGACGAGGUAUGUGGAAUGUGUGGUGUAGAGGUGAAAUGCAUAGAUAUCACACAGAACUCCGAUUGCGCAGGCAGCGUACCAGACUUAUUCUGACACUGAAGCACGAAAGCGUGGGUAUCAAACAGG
Molecule: ribosomal RNA, 425 nt
Filed under: Fusobacteriota bacterium
Lineage: Bacteria; Fusobacteriati; Fusobacteriota
Description: Fusobacteria bacterium partial 16S ribosomal RNA
Rfam family: Bacterial small subunit ribosomal RNA
Source: RNAcentral